This 1964-nucleotide ribosomal RNA is filed under the name Salmonella enterica. RNAcentral describes it as "partial 23S ribosomal RNA". It matches the Rfam family "Bacterial large subunit ribosomal RNA", at positions 1 to 1879 of the family's 2925-position model. The record is from RNAcentral. Lineage: Bacteria; Pseudomonadati; Pseudomonadota; Gammaproteobacteria; Enterobacterales; Enterobacteriaceae.
GGGUUGUGAGGUUAAGCGACUAAGCGUACACGGUGGAUGCCCUGGCAGUCAGAGGCGAUGAAGGGCGUGCUAAUCUGCGAUAAGCGCCGGUAAGGUGAUAUGAACCGUUAUAACCGGCGAUACCCGAAUGGGGAAACCCAGUGUGAUUCGUCACACUAUCAUUAACUGAAUCCAUAGGUUAAUGAGGCGAACCGGGGGAACUGAAACAUCUAAGUACCCCGAGGAAAAGAAAUCAACCGAGAUUCCCCCAGUAGCGGCGAGCGAACGGGGAGGAGCCCAGAGCCUGAAUCAGCAUGUGUGUUAGUGGAAGCGUCUGGAAAGGCGCGCGAUACAGGGUGACAGCCCCGUACACAAAAGCGCAUAUGCUGUGAGCUCGAUGAGUAGGGCGGGACACGUGGUAUCCUGUCUGAAUAUGGGGGGACCAUCCUCCAAGGCUAAAUACUCCUGACUGACCGAUAGUGAACCAGUACCGUGAGGGAAAGGCGAAAAGAACCCCGGCGAGGGGAGUGAAAAAGAACCUGAAACCGUGUACGUACAAGCAGUGGGAGCCCCACCACUAAGCCAGUGGUGAACUCCACAUACGCAUCCUUUGCUGAGGAGACGGUUAACGGAGCGAAAGCGACGUUCAACCUCAAAAGAAGCAGAGGGGGCUUAGUGGUGGGGUGACUGCGUACCUUUUGUAUAAUGGGUCAGCGACUUAUAUUCUGUAGCAAGGUUAACUGUAUAGGGGAGCCGGAGGGAAACCGAGUCUUAACCGGGCGUUAAGUUGCAGGGUAUAGACCCGAAACCCGGUGAUCUAGCCAUGGGCAGGUUGAAGGUUGGGUAACACUAACUGGAGGACCGAACCGACUAAUGUUGAAAAAUUAGCGGAUGACCUGUGGCUGGGGGUGAAAGGCCAAUCAAACCGGGAGAUAGCUGGUUCUCCCCGAAAGCUAUUUAGGUAGCGCCUCGUGAAUUCAUCUCCGGGGGUAGAGCACUGUUUCGGCUAGGGGGCCAUCCCGGCUUACCAACCCGAUGCAAACUGCGAAUACCGGAGAAUGUUAUCACGGGAGACACACGGCGGGUGCUAAUGUCCGUCGUGAAGAGGGAAACAACCCAGACCGCCAGCUAAGGUCCCAAAGUCAUGGUUAAGUGGGAAACGAUGUGGGAAGGCCCAGACAGCCAGGAUGUUGGCUUAGAAGCAGCCAUCAUUUAAAGAAAGCGUAAUAGCUCACUGGUCGAGUCGGCCUGCGCGGAAGAUGUAACGGGGCUAAACCAUGCACCGAAGCUGCGGCAGCGACACCGUGUGUUGUUGGGUAGGGGAGCGUUCUGUAAGCCUGUGAAGGUGUGCUGUGAGGCAUGCUGGAGGUAUCAGAAGUGCGAAUGCUGACAUAAGUAACGAUAAAGCGGGUGAAAAGCCCGCUCGCCGGAAGACCAAGGGUUCCUGUCCAACGUUAAUCGGGGCAGGGUGAGUCGACCCCUAAGGCGAGGCCGAAAGGCGUAGUCGAUGGGAAACGGGUUAAUAUUCCCGUACUUGGUGUUACUGCGAAGGGGGGACGGAGAAGGCUAUGUUGGCCGGGCGACGGUUGUCCCGGUUUAAGCGUGUAGGUAUGUGUUCCAGGUAAAUCCGGUUCACUUUAACACUGAGGCGUGACGACGAGGCACUACGGUGCUGAAGCAACAAAUGCCCUGCUUCCAGGAAAAGCCUCUAAGCAUCAGGUAACAUCAAAUCGUACCCCAAACCGACACAGGUGGUCAGGUAGAGAAUACCAAGGCGCUUGAGAGAACUCGGGUGAAGGAACUAGGCAAAAUGGUGCCGUAACUUCGGGAGAAGGCACGCUGACACGUAGGUGAAGUGAUUUACUCACGGAGCUGAAGUCAGCCGAAGAUACCAGCUGGCUGCAACUGUUUAUUAAAAACACAGCACUGUGCAAACACGAAAGUGGACGUAUACGGUGUGACGCCUGCCCGGUGCCGGAAGGUUA